Molecule: long non-coding RNA, 1125 nt
Filed under: Ficedula albicollis (Collared flycatcher)
Lineage: Eukaryota; Metazoa; Chordata; Aves; Passeriformes; Muscicapidae
Description: lncRNA (ENSFALG00000023648.1)
Source: RNAcentral
AAGGUUUUAUUAUGAGUGAAAUGUCAGCUUUUCUUUCAUGGUUUGCUGUUUUCCAGAAUCACCAGAGGGCGCCAAUGCAGAUCUUCCCAGAAGUGAUGCUUCCCACAAGGUUGGAACAUCAUCUCCCAACCCCAUGUCAGUGUGCAAACAAAAAAAAAAAGACAAGUUCUGAAGAUUUUUGUGGUGAAAACAGUCGACUUUUUGGCAAAAUACUGCAUCUUCAGCCAGGAGAAGUUGGCGAUGCACAAAAGGGCUUUUGAAGCAGAGUGGAAGACCUGUACAUCUGCAGAAGAAUCACAAAUGAGUACAAGAAAACAAGUUUUCCUUUCAAGAAAACAAGGCUGGUCCUAAAAUUUCAGCUGGUGGUGGCAUGGAUCAUUGCUAUGGAAAAUCUUCAUCUGGUGGGUUGGAAGUUUUAAAUCCAAUGAACUUCUUAAGAUUUGCUGGCCUCAGAGGCAGAAGUUGGCUGCCAUCCUCACCAGCAAGUCCCUAAGGGGCAGAACCCAAACCUUUGUGAAGACCAGGGGGAUUUGGGAUUCAGGUGAUGAACGCCAGUCUCUGAAGGGCCGCGGCGGCGGCGAGGUGCGGAGACGGGCCGCCUUUCUGCUGAGGAGGAGGAAGAGGAAGAAGAGCUCCUCCGCCGGCCGAGGAGCGCAGCGCCUUCCCCGGGGCCCGGGCUCCCCCGCCGGACACCCGCUCCGCCGGGGCGCAGUCCGCGCAGUGCAAAGGCCGGCCGGCCCCCCCCCCCCCCCGCAGUGCAAAGGCCGGCCGGUCUCCGGAGCCGCCCCGACUGUGCCCGCCCGCCGAGAGACGUGCCCGCACCGCCCUCCGACGGCAGGGGAGCUGGAAACGCAACAAGUUCUUUUUCCGCGUGGAUUUUUGUCUCUCUGUGUGUGAUCUGGUUUUGUGUGGUGGUUUUUUUUUUUUGGUUUUUGUGUGUUGUUUUUUUCCCUUUUGCAACUGUCCUGUAACAAUAAAAGAGAGAGGAGAUCAGAACUGCGCCGGGACCAGUGCAGCGUCCGGCCGAGGAGCCGCUCCCCCCCCCCCCCCCCCCCCCCCCCCCCCCCCCCCCCCCCCCCCCCCCCCCCCCCCCCCCCCCCCCCCCCCCCCCCCCCCCCCCCCCCC